This 492-nucleotide ribosomal RNA is filed under the name uncultured bacterium. RNAcentral describes it as "partial 16S ribosomal RNA". It matches the Rfam family "Bacterial small subunit ribosomal RNA", at positions 29 to 507 of the family's 1533-position model. The record is from RNAcentral.
AGUGAACGCUGGCGGUAGGCCUAACACAUGCAAGUCGAACGGCAGCACAGUAAGAGCUUGCUCUUACGGGUGGCGAGUGGCGGACGGGUGAGGAAUACAUCGGAAUCUACUUUUUCGUGGGGGAUAACGUAGGGAAACUUACGCUAAUACCGCAUACGACCUACGGGUGAAAGCAGGGGAUCUUCGGACCUUGCGCGAUUGAAUGAGCCGAUGUCGGAUUAGCUAGUUGGCGGGGUAAAGGCCCACCAAGGCGACGAUCCGUAGCGGGUCUGAGAGGAUGAUCAGCCACACUGGAACUGAGACACGGUCCAGACUCCUACGGGAGGCAGCAGUGGGGAAUAUUGGACAAUGGGCGCAAGCCUGAUCCAGCCAUACCGCGUGGGUGAAGAAGUCCUUCGGGUUGUAAAGCCCUUUUGUUGGGAAAGAAGAGCAGCAGGUUAAUACCCCGCUGUUCUGACGGUACCCAAAGAAUAAGCACCGGCUAACUUCGUG